CAGCCGCCACGGGAAUACGAAGGGUGCAAGCGUUACUCGGAAUUACUGGGCGUAAAGCGUGCGUAGGUGGUGGUUUAAGUCCGUUGUGAAAGCCCUGGGCUCAACCUGGGAAUUGCAGUGGAUACUGGAUCACUAGAGUGUGGUAGAGGAUAGUGGAAUUUCCGGUGUAGAGGUGAAAUUCGUAGAUAUUGGGAAGAACACCGGUGGCGAAGGCAAUCCCCUGGGCCUGCACUGACGCUCACGCACGAAAGCGGGGGGAGCAAACAGGAUUAGAUACCCGUGUAGUCCCUGUCUCUUAUAC
RNAcentral lists this ribosomal RNA (301 nucleotides) under uncultured bacterium. RNAcentral's name for it is "partial 16S ribosomal RNA". It matches the Rfam family "Bacterial small subunit ribosomal RNA", at positions 509 to 807 of the family's 1533-position model. The record is from RNAcentral.